This is a non-coding RNA of Gymnothorax javanicus (giant moray), 73 nucleotides long. The record is from the annotation of a GenBank genome assembly. Lineage: Eukaryota; Metazoa; Chordata; Actinopteri; Anguilliformes; Muraenidae.
GUACCGGUGGCGCAGUGGUCAGCACCGCUGCCUCACAGCAAGAAGGUUGCGAGUUUGAAACUGGCCUGGGGCC